AACGAUCAGCACCGGCCAAGCUGGCCUGGUUAAGGCCCUUUUGUUUCGGGAAACACUUUAUAUCAGGCGUCUGAAUUCUCUUCAUCGUCAGACCCCUUUUUCUCAGUUGAUUCACUUUUGAUCUCACGGUCCAGAUAUCAUUUGGAACAGCCCAUCUUCCACGCAAAAACAAUAGUAAACGGAGAAAUCCUCACGAUCCCUAAAUCCCGCAGAUUAUCCUCGCACCCGUUUCCUUCCUCCACUCCCGUCGCCGCCGUUUCCUUAUUCGUCGCCCGAUUAGUGCUCGCCAUUCUUCACCACGCCGUGGAUGAGCUGCUCACCUCCCCUUCGUCCCUGGGCUUCUUGUGGAAGGCUGAGCUGUCGAUCUGUCUGCAGCGGUAGCAUAUCCUCCCUCAGGCGGCCAUGAUGGCCUUCUUAGAUCGAUGCUUCCUAUAAAUCCGCUACGUGCUUGUACUUGCGUAUGGAUUGGCAAUACAAGCAUGCUUCUCAGACACAUCCACCAGAUUCCAAAUGAGCUUCUUUGUUGUCCGCAAGAUGGGAUGCAAUGACGUUGAAUGUGCUAUAACUGAGACAAAUGAGUCACUGUUCUAAGUUGUCUGUUGUACUGGAACAACAGUUGUCCAUGACCAGCUUGUGAAAAGUAUUGCUGUAAUAGGCUUCUGUUUAAUUGCAAAGAGAAUUGUAAUAUUUUCUGCUUACCAUAUCAAACAAAUUCGAGGCUUAA
Molecule: long non-coding RNA, 724 nt
Organism: Triticum aestivum (bread wheat)
Lineage: Eukaryota; Viridiplantae; Streptophyta; Magnoliopsida; Poales; Poaceae
Exons: 3
Source: RefSeq, a predicted model, not a curated record